Molecule: ribosomal RNA, 427 nt
Filed under: uncultured bacterium
Lineage: Bacteria
Description: partial 16S ribosomal RNA
Rfam family: Bacterial small subunit ribosomal RNA
Source: RNAcentral
UGGGGAAUAUUGCACAAUGGGCGCAAGCCUGAUGCAGCCAUGCCGCGUGUAUGAAGAAGGCCUUCGGGUUGUAAAGUACUUUCAGCGGGGAGGAAGGCGAUGCGGUUAAUAACCGCGUCGAUUGACGUUACCCGCAGAAGAAGCACCGGCUAACUCCGUGCCAGCAGCCGCGGUAAUACGGAGGGUGCAAGCGUUAAUCGGAAUUACUGGGCGUAAAGCGCACGCAGGCGGUCUGUCAAGUCGGAUGUGAAAUCCCCGGGCUCAACCUGGGAACCGCAUCCGAAACUGGCAGGCUUGAGUCUCGUAGAGGGGGGUAGAAUUCCAGGUGUAGCGGUGAAAUGCGUAGAGAUCUGGAGGAAUACCGGUGGCGAAGGCGGCCCCCUGGACGAAGACUGACGCUCAGGUGCGAAAGCGUGGGGAGCAAACA